UACAGAGGGUGCAAGCGUUGUUCGGAAUUAUUGGGCGUAAAGCGCGUGUAGGCGGCUUGGCAAGUCGGGUGUGAAAGCCCUCGGCUCAACCGAGGAAGUGCGCCCGAAACUGCUAUGGCUUGAGUGCCGGAGAGGGUGGCGGAAUUCCCCAAGUAGAGGUGAAAUUCGUAGAUAUGGGGAGGAACACCGGUGGCGAAGGCGGCCACCUGGACGGCAACUGACGCUGAGACGCGAAAGCGUGGGUAGCAAACAGG
This 254-nucleotide ribosomal RNA is filed under the name uncultured bacterium. Its description in RNAcentral is "partial 16S ribosomal RNA". It matches the Rfam family "Bacterial small subunit ribosomal RNA", at positions 524 to 776 of the family's 1533-position model. The record is from RNAcentral.